Marinobacter sp. is the source of this 118-nucleotide non-coding RNA. NCBI's taxonomy places the organism in Bacteria, Pseudomonadati, Pseudomonadota, Gammaproteobacteria, Pseudomonadales, Marinobacteraceae. The record is from Rfam.
GAGGGAAGGCCCCUCGGUCUCGGUGACCAGACACCGGGAUCAAACCGCCCUGUGCGGCUCGCAUUAAGAGUGCGGGUCGUGAGCGACAGGGGAAAAGGCCGCCAAGACAUUUCUAGGG